Molecule: ribosomal RNA, 19 nt
Filed under: uncultured Glomus
Lineage: Eukaryota; Fungi; Glomeromycota; Glomeromycetes; Glomerales; Glomeraceae
Description: partial 28S ribosomal RNA
Source: RNAcentral
UUUGACCUCAAUCAGAGAC